This is a long non-coding RNA of Ruditapes philippinarum (Manila clam), 1720 nucleotides long. RefSeq lists it as uncharacterized. The record is from RefSeq and is a predicted model, not a curated record. Lineage: Eukaryota; Metazoa; Mollusca; Bivalvia; Venerida; Veneridae. The transcript has 3 exons.
ACAUAUAUCAUUACUUUAACUUUAAAGAGGUUUCUUAAAAAAUAUAUCAAUAGCAUGAAUAUGAGUUUUAAUUUACAGUAUAAAAACAAGCUACUUUCAGUAAAUCUUCAAAAAGCAUCCUAAAGAGAGGAUAUUGGAUGAGUGUACAUGUUACUAAGGUUUAAUACUAAAUUUAUUGAACGAGUUGAAUAAAAUCAUAUUAUACGAGCCUCUGGCGAGCAUAAUAUUGUUUUAUUAAACUUGUUCAAUAAAUUUAGUAUGGAACCUAUACGAAUAUGUAGCAGGGUCAUAUUUUUGUAUGACAGUAUUAUGAAACGUGUCAGCUCUUUCCGGUGUUUUAUUUCUUUAGGUUUUGAUAAGUUCUUGCUGGUCUUUUAUUUUCUUGUUUUCUUUGUGAUCUCGCGAGAGUUUGGCGGGAAUGUUGUGCAGGUUUUGAAAAGAGUUUACAUGGUUGAUGUAGAGAACAUUCUAUUAAUUUCAACUUGUCUAUAUGAUUUACAUUUGGUUGAGCUAUCCAAGUGUUUGUGAGAAGUAUUUAAGUUAACCAUCACGUGAGACAGGAUGUAUGUGAUGUGAAGUGAAGUGCUAUAGAUUCUAAUUUGUCAUUGGUUUAUUGUGGAAUAGGCUUAAGAUCCCAUAGAUCUUGCCUUGAUAAAAGUUGACUUCAAUAGAGUACUUAGAAGAUAUAUUGUAUAUUCAGUUUGACUGUAUAUGUAAACAAUAAAUGAAUUACCACAUCUACCCUGUGUUAUAACACCAUGUGUUACAAAUAUAAUAUUCUAUUUAUCACAUACCCAAAACGAGAACGGCUUAUAGUUAUUGGGAGAUACGAUGGUACUCCUUAUAAUGAGAGAAUUUGCACAUUGUGUAGCGACAAUCAAACUGGCACCGAGCAGCAUUACUUGUUACAUUGUAGUUUUUUCGGGAGACAAAGAGAGCAUUUUUUCCAAAACGUAAAUUUAAUAAACGAACGCGAACUUUCGCUGAAAUCACUAUUAGGGUCAAAUAACAUACAUGUUUUAAGGAGCCUCGUGAAAUUCAUUAAUUCUAUUACAAAAACGUUCCAAUAAUCCUAAUGCCUCCAUCAGUAAUUCAAGAUUUCAUCUGAUAUUUCUCACUUGUUAAACUGUUUGUUUCCUUUAAAUUGCGUGUUUAAUUUUUUUCUCAACAUUUUCUUUGUAUACUGUAUAAUUUUCUAUUCACAAAUGAAGUUAUUUUUUCAUAAAACAGAUGUCUGUUAUUGUUAGGAAUACAAGUACAUAUUAUCUAUAUGUAAAUUUAUAAAUUGCCAUUACUCACAUUUUACUGACAAAAUCUUAUCCAACAUAGUCCCAUUGAUUCCUAUUUCGAAUUUCCCCAAUACACGUAGUAAUACAUUAUAAAUCUAUGAAUGACAUUCCUUUCAGUUGUAGAUAACUGUUAUGCACGACUUUCACGUGCAGAUUUACUACAUGUUUGUGCUAAUGUUUUUUGUUUUUUUUUACGUAAUAUCGUGCUAUACAUACAUACAGGUGCGUAUUGUGUUGUAUACCUGUUUAAAUUAUUACAAUAGACAACCUCCUUAUUUUUUUUUUCAAAUGUAGUUACACGUAGAAUAAUAAAUUAAUGGUGUAUAUCGAUUUAAUGUUAACAAACCCCUGCUCAAUAUAUCAUUCCAUAGUUUGUACUUUUUUUUUGGUAAUUUAGUAAAGUUUUUUUUUGUGUGUGUUUUUUUUUUUUU